AGUAACUUAUUUUACCAAUUUGUAAUGUGAAUUGUGUUUGAGUCUAAAUACUUUUUGGAGUGAUCAUCCUAUUUCCAUUUGUCCAAACACCAAAUAUAUGGAGGAUGUGAACUUCAGAAGAUUCAAAAUAUGUACUAUCAAUGGAGGCAGGAAAAUAGAGAAUAAGAGGACAUGGUAGGAAAGGUAAAUUAUCACCUGUCUAUUCCACUCACUUCACUCUGAAUCCCAUGCAGCCUAUUUUGCAUUGCCAAUCUGCAAGAUGAGCUAGGCAUUGCCAAUCCUGGCAGAAAGGAUCUGGCAAAAUAAAGGAAGUCAUAGAUAACAAAAUUCUAAUAUGCUAGUAGUUUACAAAUGUAUUUUUGACACAAAAUUUGAGUGGUAAUGUUAAA
This 389-nucleotide long non-coding RNA is filed under the name Marmota monax (woodchuck). The record is from RNAcentral. Lineage: Eukaryota; Metazoa; Chordata; Mammalia; Rodentia; Sciuridae.